UGAAACCCCCAAGGCAGCGAGGCCACACAUUCAUUUUCUGAACACUGCCUGAAGUGAUUCAAAAUGACAGUCAUAUCUAAAGUGAUCAUGUGUAAGUAUAUGAGUUACAAAUGUAUGCACACGCGUACAUGCAGAAAACAAAAUAUUGGGUGGUGAUUAUAUGUCUAAAAAGGUUCAUUCAGGGGGGAACUUUCUUCUUUGCUUUAUUUUCUUUUCAGAAGAAUUCUUCCUCAAAACAAGGCUCAAAGUUUAAUUCAAUAUAAUUUUCUCUUUGCCUUUAACCUUGGUAAACAUUUGCACUAUUCUCCCGCACUGGUAGAAAUAAACUCACAAUGUCAAGGAAAAAAAAGAUCUUUUGAUAGAAUAUUGAUCUGAAUUUUUUUAUGAAUCUCUAUCUUCUAAUCUGUCAUUAAUACAUUGUUUUUGUCCCCCCCCCCCCCCCGUGUGUGAGGUACUGGAUGGGCACACAUUAUGUAUGGUCAGAGGACAGCUUUAUGAAGUUGAUUUUCUCCAUCCACUUUUCUGUGGGUUCUGGGAAUCAGUUUAGGUUGCCAGGUAUGUACCAAUGAAACGACCCGCGGAGAAGAAAAAUACACACAUUGGUUCUGCAAUAUGCACUAGAUAAUCUGAAACAGGGCAACCACCCCAGCUCUAACAUGUGUGUUCACAAAGGGCUCCGUGGAAAGGACCAGAGAAGGCACCAGGCUAAAUUGAAAGCCAAGGAAAGGAAAGCAUUGCUGACAGCAUCCAGUAGAAGACAGGGUUCUGGGAAGGAGGACUCAGCACAUUAGCCAUCCUGGUGUGACCCCCAUGCAUUCAGGAGGCAAGUCCAAGAUGCACCAAAAUCUUCCAGUGAUUGAAGGACUCCAAAUUUCUUUUCUUUGUCAUCAUUAAGAAGUUUGGACAACCUGAAUGGCAAACAGAUAAGCAGGCAUCCUCCCACUGUGGCCAAGGUCAAAGUCAAGAUAUCUCAAGGGGCUGCACAAUGUGAACCUGAGAGUUUAUUUUUAUGAGAUCGACUUCUGUUACCCACUAUCCAUGACCUGGCUCUACACGGUUUCUCCAGCCAUCCUGUCAGUUUUACGGUUUGUUUACAUCCAAGGUAUGUAAUGUUACACUAUUCAUCGUGGUUGCCAAGCAAUGACAUGCCCUGAAUCCCUAUGGGAAUUCCCCAGUUCCCAAACACAUUCAUUCAAGAAGGCUGUCCUCAGGACAUCCAUCUUCUUUUCUGACCGGCUACAGAUAAGGAGCAGCUGUUGGAUCACGCCUACCACAGCUACUGACUCCCAUACUGGGAGGUGACAGGAUCUCAGAAAGCCAUCCCUGGCAGCUGGAUCUGCUCAUGGCUCCUAUGUCCCACAAAACAUGUUCUCAGGAAUGUGGUCAUUUGGAGACAUGAUAUGCCAUCAAGGAAGCAUUUCGCUCUGUACCAUCCGGAUCUCACCGGAUGUCACCCUUGCCGCAAGGCUCAUAGGGAAUGCUGUCCUAAGAGCUCCGCGUGGUCAAGUUCCCAGGAAAUGAAAGCCUAAGCCUUUCUUGGCAUGCAGUCCAUUCUUACACACACACACACACACACACACACACACACACCUUGCUUCAUGUCUCCUUUUGCUCAUAAUACUUUUUUUUUUUUUUUUUGUAGCAACCCCUCCUUCACUCAACUCUUCCCUCUUCCUUCAGGAUAGUAAGCCUUCAAAAUUAGGCUAGAGUCUCUCUUUCCAUGGACCCUGCCUACAACUGACCAAGUCCUGUGAGAUUUAUCCCACGGUUUCCUUUUGCACAUUAUUUUCCCCUCCUAAUUUCACAACUGUCAAGUUUCCUUCAAAGAAUUCCAACAUUUUGCACUUAGAAAGGACCCGAGAUAAUCCUUUGUCUCUUUGCUCUUUCAUAUUAGUAAUUAAUCAAAGCUCUGGACAUCUGAGCUCUUUUUUGAGGGCCAACAUGACUUCCCCUUCCUGUGAAUCCUGGGAGGUCUGGAGCUCUGCUCCUCCAGGGCCAGAGUCUUAUCACUGAAGAUUAUGAUGCUGGCCUGCAGCUAUUCAGGGCACGGAAAUGGAAAUCUAAAUUCAAGUCCUAUUGAAGAAAGGACCAACAAAACAAAACAAAAUGAAACGAAAAAUAUUGCCGAGGGCCAGAUCACUAAUAGACACACACACACACACACACACAUACACACACACAUACACACACAUACAUACACACACACACAUGCACACACACACAAGUGCACGCACACACACACUCUCUCACACACAAAUUCCACUUUGUAUGAAGUCACAUCAGAGAGACUAAGACAGGAGCUGAGUUAGAAAUAUCCUCUGUGGUCCUGAGAGCCAAGAUGUUAUACACAUUAGGAAGAGAAUCGGAUCAUACUUUGAAGAAGGCACUAAAAAGCAUGUAUAAGUUCAUCUGCAAGGUUGAAGUGGUGGAAGUAUACGUGUGUAUGUAGGCAUGCGUUUACAUACAUCACAUAUGAAUAUCCUCCCAAGUAUCUAUUGCCAUAUGUGUAUGUAUGUGUAUAUUCACAUCGCUAUGUGCAUUACUGACCUUGUGCUCUGUGAUGAAUCCUUGAGGGCGUUAGUCUGAACUCUGCCACUGUGCCUUUAUCACUGCUUGUGCACAGGAAAAGUUCAGGCGGUUCUCAGGACCUUUCUCCAGUGGCCACACAAGUCAAGAAGAGCAACUUGGCCGGCAUGAAGCACAGAAGUAGCGUGGUUGUUUAGCUUUCGGGAUGCUCUGGGUUUCACCCCAGUACUGCAAAAAUAGAGAAACAAAUAAAUAAGGAAAUGAAGAUAGUGACGGCCGCCUCUGCUGAUUCUCAGGACUCUGAUCCCUCUCAUGGCCGAGCUGCUAUUUGAUGCUGCUGUUUGGAAGCCACACUCAAGCAGCAAAUGGGCUAGGUUCUCUGACCUUGCAAUGGUGACAUCCCAUGAUUCCUUAGUGCCUGGACAUCAAGGCCCUCACUGCAACCUUUGGCAAAUUCUGGGUGUGCUGGUCUGGUAGCACACCCUGAGAGUGGAUCUGGUCAACUUAGCUGGCUCUUUGGACAAGCCUACACUGGAUUUAAAACUUCUGCAGGAAACAGGAUCCUCCAUCAUUUUCUCUGUCUCCUCAGCUGGUGGUCCCGAGCAUCCACUUCUGAAGAACUAAGACAAGCUGUCCAAGAAAGCGCAUCUCUGCUUAGAUUCGGAUCUGUGCUUCCUCCCAGGCUAACAUCCAGGGACAAACGCUCUCCUGAGUUAGAUGUGAAACAGACUCCUGCUGCUCAGGAAACAGCGGAAAGGCCGGCUAUCCAGGGACCAACUGAGCUUCAGGAGAACGGGAAAGUAAAAGCUUAGUACUCAGGCCCCUCAGGACGGGUUCAGAUAAGCAAGAAGACAUUCGGUGCGGAAGCGCCAGUGUGUGUGUGCAAGUGGCUCCUUAGAGAAAUCCGAUAAACAUGAGAAAGCAUGUCCAUGACUGCCUUGACCCCCUGAUGUUCCCCAGAGAGUGAACUGACCCUGGCACCAUGGCGCUUGGCCAUAGGCACAGAAGUGAGGGAGCAUGCCUAAUGGACGGCUGUUGUGAAUCCACAAGCCUUGGUUUUUGUUAGGCAGGGCCAUGACACUUUGUAAAACCCUUCCAUUUUGGUUGAACUGUGACAAUUCCUGUAACUACAAUAAUUUGAAUUCCAGAAAUAAAGUAGCUUGUUUCAAUUCUA
Arvicola amphibius (Eurasian water vole) is the source of this 3700-nucleotide long non-coding RNA. RefSeq lists it as uncharacterized. Lineage: Eukaryota; Metazoa; Chordata; Mammalia; Rodentia; Cricetidae. The transcript is spliced from 6 exons. The record is from RefSeq and is a predicted model, not a curated record.